RNAcentral lists this ribosomal RNA (633 nucleotides) under Ceratobaeus sp. 2 NM-2013. RNAcentral's name for it is "eukaryotic LSU rRNA". It matches the Rfam family "Eukaryotic large subunit ribosomal RNA", at positions 386 to 848 of the family's 3401-position model. The record is from RNAcentral. Lineage: Eukaryota; Metazoa; Arthropoda; Insecta; Hymenoptera; Scelionidae.
CCCGAAAGAUCGAAUGAGGAGAUUCAUCGUCAGUGUAGUCAGUUUUCAUGCGUUUCGCGAUGGCACGCAUUCGCUGUGGUAUGUCUGAUUACGUCGGCGUGCACUUCUCCUCUAGUAGAACGUUGCGACCCGCUAGAUGUUAGCCUAAGAGCCAGGAUGUUGACUGUUUCGUUCGUUUCGGCGUUUGUGAACAGACACUUGGUUUCUAGCUAACUGUUUGGCGGUAUUCUAAGGUANUGAGCCGCACUUGAAUGCGUUCAGACUUGUCACAAGCUNGACCAUCAAAUAACCUAGAAGGCGGACCUGGUGCCGUCCCUGGGAGUGGUUGACUGUUGGUUGACAAUGUUCUCGAACUGGCUAAAUACCGGUCAGCGACGCUNUUGCUUUGGGUACUUUCAGGACCCGUCUUGAAACACGGACCAAGGAGUCUAACAUGUGCGCAAGUCAUUGGGAUAUUUAAACCUAAAGGCGCAUUGAAAGAAAAGAUCGGCCUUGUGUCGGUUGAGGGAGGAUGGGCAAUGUUUAGAUAUUGCUUCGCACUCCCGGGGUGUCUUAAAGUCAUUGCGACUUGAGGCGCACCUAGAGCGUACACGUUGGGACCCGAAAGAUGGUGAACUAUGCCUGGUCAGGAUG